CCUAGCAAGAGCCGUGCUUCGCAGAAUC
RNAcentral lists this small RNA (28 nucleotides) under Bombyx mori (domestic silkworm). RNAcentral describes it as "ovarian small RNA-13954". The record is from RNAcentral. Lineage: Eukaryota; Metazoa; Arthropoda; Insecta; Lepidoptera; Bombycidae.